RNAcentral lists this long non-coding RNA (1170 nucleotides) under Equus caballus (horse). Its description in RNAcentral is "lncRNA (ENSECAG00000037327.2)". The record is from RNAcentral. Lineage: Eukaryota; Metazoa; Chordata; Mammalia; Perissodactyla; Equidae.
GGGACCGCGAGGGGAGAGAGGACGAAAAUCCUGUUGGGGAGGAAGGACGCACUCGCAGGCUUGUCUCCUGCCUGCUCCCUGGCGAUCUAGGCUCUAGCCCUUCGGCUCCGCUGCCCGCGGCAGCUCUGGACUCAUCCAGUCUGUCCAGCCUCAAGAAGACGAGCCCAAGGGUCAAAGAUGACCCUCGACCCUCGCUCUCUUCCCGCAACUCGGAUGCGACGUGCCUUGCGCGCCGGGGUUCUUGCCCAAGAACGGAGGCGCCCGGGCGCCCCUGCGCGGAACCACCGGGACCGGGCCUAGGGUCCAGAGCCGGGGCCUCGUGCUCGGUGCCGUGCAGAACGCGGCCGGGCCUGGUCCCAGCGCCGAGCACCACGCGCCCAGGGGCCUGCGGAGCCACCGCGACGCCCGGGACGCGCCAGCGCGGCCGGAGGAGAGAGCUCGGCAGGUGCCCGUCGUUCCUGUGGGUUCGUGGUAGCAGCUGCCCCAGGGGCCGGUCCGGUGGGCGAGGGCCCCGGGUACGCCCCGCUUGAGGCCGGUCCUCUCUGCGCGGGCGCGGCGCUGUGGACCAGGGGACCCAAAGAGCCAGCUCUUAGGCUGCCCCAGAUCUGCAGAAUUUGCUGAAAGGAUCUUAAAGCUGAGGUGCUGAGGGUGAGACGAUUGGACUGAAUUCACGAUUGGGCAAAGCCCAAGGAGAAAGAGGUGGAUGAAGCGGAAGACGGAGGUUUGGGGGUGGCCUGCAGCCGGAGGAUAGGGGCCCAUGUAGGGGACUGGGGGUGCGGGCCAAGGGGGCGAAGGCUGCCUGUGCGGAGCGGGGAGUAGAAUCAGAAGCUCGUGUCCCGGGGCUACCAAGGGUUGGGUUGGGAACUUUCCAGAACAUUACCCCUCCUCCUCCCCCCUUCCCCGGCCCCGAAUUGCACUACUGCCGACCUGGAGGAGGUGGGGAUUGCCCACAGCACGUGCGGUGCACGUUCGGAAUGAUGGUGUGGAGAUGAGACGCUGGAGCAAAACAUGAACCAAUUAAAGGGCUGUAAAAACCUACGCCUCUGGGGCUUCCCCCCCUCCUGUAAUGAGAAAUUCAUAGCUGGGGCCGGGGGCGGGGGGGCGGGGGAGGCGGAUGAGGGGGAACGACCUUCUCACACUCAGAGUGACUUCUUUCCAAUUCUUUUGAAG